AUAGUGGCUAUAGAGUGUGUGUAGGGUCUUAAUGUGAGUUUUCUUCAAAUUAAAAGCAUAAGAGCUGUACAAUGAUGAGACUUUGGCUCCCUCUACUGAU
This is a microRNA precursor of Gallus gallus (chicken), 100 nucleotides long. The record is from Ensembl. NCBI's taxonomy places the organism in Eukaryota, Metazoa, Chordata, Aves, Galliformes, Phasianidae.